AUCGAUGGAGAUCGAAACCAGAAUCUUUCUUGGAGUGUAACUUCUUCUCUUCCUCAAUUCUUUCAUUAGAAUGUCGUUGCCAAGUGAGAAUUAAAGCAUGACGUGCUGUACCAUGAAGGCAAGGGAACAUUGCCCAGCGGCUCACCAUCGUGCACCCAAUGGGAGGCCCAUACAUGAGCUUCUUCAACACUGGCAGCAUAGUCUUUCUGCCCUCUUGUGUCUAGUCGCGUACCUGUGUUAGUGGACAGAAUUCUUUUAUCCAAUGAAUAUGAUAUAGAGACAUGGACCUCAUAAGAUCAUAGGGAAAAUAUUGAGAUUUCAAAGAUGGACAACGGAUUUCACUGUCAACAAACGAAAGGACUCCCAUAAACU
Molecule: long non-coding RNA, 372 nt
Organism: Macadamia integrifolia
Lineage: Eukaryota; Viridiplantae; Streptophyta; Magnoliopsida; Proteales; Proteaceae
Exons: 3
Source: RefSeq, a predicted model, not a curated record